CUCCUCCUCGCAGCCGCUUUGUCAUUUCAAACACGCAACCUCGAGCAGAGUCGAGCAAGAGAGAGAGAGAGAGAGAGAGAGAGAGCUCCGCCUCGCCGCUCGAUCCAGUGUUUUGGUGGUGACUCGUCCGCUUUCUUCAUCGUGCUGCCCCGCUUCCUCCGCCUCCCUUCUGUUCCUGCCGGCGGGAUCUGUGGCAUCUCUCGGCCCCGCACUGACCCGUCCCCAUUUCCGCCGCUAGCGAUUUUGUUCGUCGGAUUCGGUUUUCCCCCCUCCCUUUUUGUUGUUCCUAUGAUGUGUUAGGUAGGGAGUUGGUUUUGUCUGUCAGCCCCCGCAGCUUUUCUCUGUGUAGAUUCAUUAGGUUGCGCCGUUUCUAGGAUGUGUUUGAUUGUUCUACUAAGCGCUGUAGCUGCGGUAGAUGGGAUGUGCGUCAGUUUGAUCUGCUGAUCUGUAAUUGAUUGGUUGUUGGAAUUCGAGCUGUUCAUGUGAGGCUGGCUUGCUUAGUUGUAGUAGUCUGGUGUAUUCAGUCAAUUCGAACGUAUGUAUUCUGUUCCCUGGCCUUUAAUCCCUAGACCAUUUCUCUUCACUGGUAUCGUUUAGUGGGUAUGUGGCUUACUCUGUAAUUCCUAUUUUUGAAUUUACAGUGAAUUACAGUGCAAUCCUCAUUGUUUUUUAGAGUGAUUUUCAGUGUAAUUCAUACUGGAUUUCAUUGAUUUUCACUGUAAUCUGUAGUGGAUUUCCAGUGUAAUUUUUUAGUGGAUAGGUAGUAUAUUUGUAGUGUAAAUCCAAAGCAGUUUGUAGUGUGAUCCCCGGUUAUUUUACAGUGUAAUUUCAGUGUAUUUUGUCAGUUGAUUUGCAUUGUAUUUGUUGGUGGAAUAACAAUGUAUAUGUCCUAAUUGCAGUGUACUUUUGUCACUGGGGUUGUACUGUAUUUGUUAGUGGAAUUAAAGUGUAUUUGUCAGUGAUGUACAGUGUAAUUUGAUAGCUGAUUUACAGUGUAAUUGCCAUGGAUUUGCAUUGUAUUCGCUAGUGGAAUUACAGUGUAAUUCACUUGAAUUUUUAUAGUGGUAUUACGUUUUGGAUUUAUAGUGUUUUUGUCAGUGAAUUUACCGUGUAAUUGAUAGCUGGUUUUACAAUGUAAAUUCAUUGUAAUUUACGCUGUAAUUGAGUAGCAGAUGAAUUGUGAGUGUUCUUUUUUUUAUCAGAAUUGUGACUGUUCUUGUGAUGCGUCGCUAGUUUGUAUGUUCUUGUGAUGCAUCUGAUUCCAGUGUAUUUUGUUAGAGGACUUAGACUGUAAUUAUAUUCGGAUUUACACUGUAAUCUUCAUCGGAAUUCCAGUGUAUUUUUCUUAGUGGGUGAUUAGAGUGUAUUUACAAUGUAAUUCUCAGUUGGUUUCCACUGUAAUUCGCGGGGGUUUUCUUCACUAUAAUUCUCAGUGGGUUAUGUAGUGAAAUAAAAGAGAUGUAGAUUGUAAAUGCUAUCAAUGCAUAUCUUCUUUAUAUUUUUGUUAUGUUUUAUCCCUUCUGCCAUUUCAUCUCAGACUUUUUGUCCUUUUCUUUGUGUUUGUACAUAUUUAGGUUAUAGAUUGAAGUAUGGGGAGACUCAUGAAGGCUUUUGGUAAGGGCACUUCUGCUGCUUGUGUUGAAGAUUGUGAUGAUUCAGAUGGGGAUCCUUUUGUCCCCAAUGAUUUUGCGGAAGGUGAUCCUUUUCAAGCUUCGGAGUUAACUGCAGGAAAGUCAAAUGGAUGAUCCUGAUUUCGACAAAGCUUUGUAUGAGUUCUACGUGUCUCGUAAAGUGAAUUGCUUAAAAUGGAAGAUUACAGAUGCUGGAGCUCGCAAUGUGGUAUUUUAUUUUGUUGUUGUUUAUAUUUCCUUUUUUUUCAUGCAACUUCUCUAUGAUAGAUAUGGAUAUAAGUUUUAGAUAACUCCUUUUGUAAUCUUCAUCAUAUCUAUUUUUUUGUGGAAUGGCUAUUGAUGCACAAGAACCUAGUUCCAUAUAGUUCUAGUUGUUGUUGCUAGAUGUCUUUCUUUUGUUUAUUUUUAGUGUAAUUUAUCUUGAUUUUUUCUUUUGUUUGUGUCUUGUUGUGUUGUAGAAGCGCAAGAGGUCUUCUGAUUUUUCCUGUAGCCAAUACAUUCACUAGAUACUCAAGUUGUUCUCCACUGUUUUUGGUGGCUUGUCUCCUAGGUAAGCCCGUGUUCUUCAGAGUUACAAGGCAAAUUGCCUUCUCAAAUUUGUGAGGACAGAGGUGCCUCUUAGGUUUGUCAAAUGGUUAGCGUCCAAAUUUGAUGUUCUUGCUUCAGAGAUUCAGAUUAGGAAGAAGUUUAUACCGAUUUCCAAAUAUGUCAUCCAUGACAUCUUAGAUCUUCCUGUUGAUGGUGAGCCCAUUGUGUCCGAUGUUGAGGCUGGGCAUGAGUUUAUCUUGUCCCAUUUCAAUGUGACUAGGGAUGUGUUUGGUUCGCGGGAUAGCUUUGAGUGGCUAUGGAUAUCACUAACCACCUGGCUAGAGAUAGCCAAUUUUUCUGUUUGGUUGGGUGAGAUGCCAAGUGG
Triticum aestivum (bread wheat) is the source of this 2544-nucleotide long non-coding RNA. RefSeq lists it as uncharacterized. The transcript has 3 exons. NCBI's taxonomy places the organism in Eukaryota, Viridiplantae, Streptophyta, Magnoliopsida, Poales, Poaceae. The record is from RefSeq and is a predicted model, not a curated record.